CUAGUAAUGGCAGGUCAGCAUACUGCCGUGAAUACGUUCCCGGGCCUUGUACACACCGCCCGUCACACCAUGAGAGUUGGGAAUACCCGAAGCCUGUGAGCUAACUUAACGAGGCAGCAGUCGAAGGUAGAAUCAAUGAUUGGGGUGAAGUCGUAACAAGGUAGC
Molecule: ribosomal RNA, 165 nt
Filed under: uncultured bacterium
Lineage: Bacteria
Description: partial 16S ribosomal RNA
Rfam family: Bacterial small subunit ribosomal RNA
Source: RNAcentral